This is a non-coding RNA of Trichobilharzia regenti, 49 nucleotides long. Lineage: Eukaryota; Metazoa; Platyhelminthes; Trematoda; Strigeidida; Schistosomatidae. The record is from Rfam.
AUCCAACUGGUGGACGAGUCGCAAACAGGACGAAAUGCGCAUCCUGGAU